UACGUAGGCAGCGAGCGUUGUUCGGAGUUACUGGGCGUAAAGAGUGCGUAGGCGGUUUUCUAAGUUUGGUGUGAAAUCUCCCGGCUUAACUGGGAGGGUGCGCCGAAAACUGAAAGGCUUGAGUAUGGGAGAGGUAAGCGGAAUUCCUGGUGUAGCGGUGAAAUGCGUAGAUAUCAGGAGGAACACCUGCGGUGUAGACGGCUUACUGGACCAUAACUGACGCUGAGGAGCGAAAGCCAGGGGAGCAAACGGG
Molecule: ribosomal RNA, 253 nt
Filed under: uncultured bacterium
Lineage: Bacteria
Description: partial 16S ribosomal RNA
Rfam family: Bacterial small subunit ribosomal RNA
Source: RNAcentral